Molecule: ribosomal RNA, 207 nt
Filed under: uncultured bacterium
Lineage: Bacteria
Description: partial 16S ribosomal RNA
Rfam family: Bacterial small subunit ribosomal RNA
Source: RNAcentral
CUCGUAGGCGGCUUGUCGCGUCUGCUGUGAAAACCCGGAGCUCAACUCCGGGCCUGCAGUGGGUACGGGCAGGCUAGAGUGCGGUAGGGGAGAUUGGAAUUCUUGGUGUAGCGGUGGAAUGCGCAGAUAUCAGGAGGAACACCGAUGGCGAAGGCAGAUCUCUGGGCCGCUACUGACGCUGAGGAGCGAAAGCAUGGGGAGCGAACA